AUUUAUAUAAAAUAUUUUGAUGAAUAUUUAUAUAAUAUUAACAUAAUUCAUAUUACUAUAUAUUCUUAGUAUAUGAAAUUUUACUUUGAGAAAAUUAGAGUGCUUAAAGCAGGCAUAUGCCUUGAAUACUCCAGCAUGGAAUAAUAUUAAAGAUUUUNAUCUUUCUUAUUGGUUCUAAGAUAAGAAUAAUGAUUAAUAGGGACAGUUGGGGGCAUUUGUAUUUAACAGUCAGAGGUGAAAUUCUUAGAUUUGUUAAAGACAAACUNAUGCGAAAGCAUUUGCCAAGGAUGUUUUCAUUAAUCAAGAACGAAAGUUAGGGGAUCGAAGACGAUCAGAUACCGUCGUAGUCUUAACCAUAAACUAUGCCAACUAGAGAUUGGAGGUUGUUCCUUACUCCUUCAGCACCUUA
This 409-nucleotide ribosomal RNA is filed under the name Cryptosporidium parvum. RNAcentral's name for it is "SSU rRNA". It matches the Rfam family "Eukaryotic small subunit ribosomal RNA", at positions 672 to 1090 of the family's 1831-position model. The record is from RNAcentral. Lineage: Eukaryota; Apicomplexa; Conoidasida; Eucoccidiorida; Cryptosporidiidae.